AUCUCUCUCUGGAGAUCACUCCUCUUGGCACCCUUUCUGCAAGUUCAGGCUAUGGAAUGAUUUGGUUGAAGAGGUGGGGUGCACUGAGCAAAACUGCUGAUGACACAAACUAGAAGAAGUUACUGAUACACCAGACAGCUGUGCUGCCAUGCAAAGGGACCUGAACAAGCUGUAGAAAUGGGCCAAUAGGAACCUCAUGAAGUUCAACAAGAUGAAAUGCGGAGUUGUGCACCUGGGGAGGAGAAACCCAAGACACCAGGACUUACUGAGGACUCCUGGCUGGAAAACACCAUGACAGUAGAGGAUCUGUGCAACCUGGUGGACACCAAAUUUAACAUGAGCCAGCAAUGGGAUCUGAUGGAAAAGAAGGCUAAAGGUAUACCAGACUACAGUAGGAAAAGCAUCACUGGCAGGUCAAGAGAGGUGACCUUUCCCCUCUACUCAGAACUGGAGAGACCAUACCUGCAAUAAAGUGUCAAGUUCUGGGCUCCCCAGUACUAGAAAGACAUCAACAUACUGGAGAGAAUUCAGUGCAGGGCCAAGAAGAUGACUAAGGGACUGGAGUAUUCCUUGUAUGAGGAAAUGCUGAAAGAGCUGGGACUGUCCAGCCUAGAAGAGGGAAAGCUAAAUGAAAAUGUUACCAAUUCAUAUAGAAUAUUAAUAGAAAGGUGCAAAAAGUAUGAAGUGAGGCUCUUUUCAGCUGUUCUCAGUGACACUGCUGGGUACUGGGUGCAAACUGAAACAGUAGGUGCCAUCUGGACAUCAGGAAACAUUUUUCACUGUAACGGCAACAGAGCAAUAAAACAGUGUGCCUAGAGAGUAAACCAAUGUUCUGGUUGCUGUUGAGUGAAUGCCUCCGUGGCAGGGAAGGGACACUGCCAUUAUGGUGCAGCAAUAAGCCACAGAGCAGGGAGGAAGGGGAAGAGGGGGAGUUUCAGAGAUAGGACAGCUGACCUGAAUUAGACAAAGGGUUAUUCCGUACCAUCUGACAUCACACAAAAGAUCAUAAAGCUGUGGGGAGUUAGUGGGGAACAGCCACUGCUCAGGGAUUGGUGGACGUUUAUCAGUGGUUGUAAGACAUUGCAUUGCUGGUGUGUAGUUAGUCUCUGCCUCAUUCCACUGUGGGGAAUGAGUGAACAGUUUUGUGGUGCUUAGCUGCAUGCCAGGUUAAACCACAACAGGAAUUCAAGUUUUUGCUUUAUUGUCUAAGGUAUUGAGCAUAUGAUAUCAGUGCUUUCUCUACAUUAUACGUUCAGCUGUUUCCCUUGCAUUUAUUGGAUAUUUUUCUUAACUACCAUGUAAAUUUUCAAGGGUUAUUCCCAUAUUCCCACAAAGUAUAAACCUGUUAUAAAGCUCGCUGAAGACAGCAGGGCCCGAAGUGACCAGAUAAUCUCUUUUCCACACUUGUGUUCUACUCAUGAAUAUAAUAGCUCAAGAACAGUAAAAGAACAGAAUGAAGACAAGGACAAAAAGAUUAUAUGGGCACUUGGGAGGUUAAUGCAUGUGGUUCUGCUUUUUUCAGAAGCUAAUACAUAAUUAUUUUCUUCAAUUAGAUGAAAUCAGCUUAACUAAUCAAUUACUGGAAAAAACUUAAGAAGUAAAAAAAAAAAAACAAAACCCUAACGACCUUAAAAUCAUGCCAUCACAAAGACAAAUGAAUGCUUGUCAUGCAUUAUGUACUUUUAGAAAAACUUUCCACUUUCAAAAUUUAUCUGAGUAAACUAUAACUUUUUCUACCAUCAUCGCUUAUUCCUUAGUGAACCUUUAGAAGACUGUUUCCGGUAUUCAUAAUCCUUCUGCUAUACAUGCACAUAUAUAUAUCCGUAUAUGCACACAAAUAUAUACAUAUACACAUGUGUAUGCAUAAAUAUUUAAGAAAGUAAAAAUAAUUUGCUUUUUGAGUAAGUUUGUUUCUUCAUUAUACUAUUAACAGUAUCUUCAUGCAGUAAUGGGCCUACACCAUUUUUGAUGUUCAUUCAGCAUUCAAUUUAUGUAAAUAACUACAGCUUUUUGCAUAUUAAACUGUUUCUGCAGACU
Gallus gallus (chicken) is the source of this 2037-nucleotide long non-coding RNA. NCBI's taxonomy places the organism in Eukaryota, Metazoa, Chordata, Aves, Galliformes, Phasianidae. The record is from Ensembl.